This 216-nucleotide long non-coding RNA is filed under the name Lathyrus oleraceus (garden pea). RNAcentral describes it as "Pisum sativum (pea) long non-coding RNA (PSAT_LNC002447)". The record is from RNAcentral. Lineage: Eukaryota; Viridiplantae; Streptophyta; Magnoliopsida; Fabales; Fabaceae.
UUAUUAUAAAGAGUCUAGAAUAAGAGGGAGAUGUGAGAGACAAAGUGAAAUAUUUUUAGAAUGAGAGGGAGAUGUUAGGGGGAUAUUAAAAAAAAUUAGGCUAAUUUUUUUUAUUGAGCUUAAUCAUAUUUCUAAUUUAGUGAAUAUGCCAACAAAGUUAUGUUGUUAAAAUUUAAUUUUCUAACUUUUAAUUUUUUUAUUUAUUUUAUAGUUAAG